Molecule: ribosomal RNA, 531 nt
Filed under: Lactarius oculatus
Lineage: Eukaryota; Fungi; Basidiomycota; Agaricomycetes; Russulales; Russulaceae
Description: eukaryotic LSU rRNA
Rfam family: 5.8S ribosomal RNA (bases 41-194)
Source: RNAcentral
UUUUAAAAGUGUAGAAUGACCACAUUUAUGCAAUCAAUACAACUUUCAACAACGGAUCUCUUGGCUCUCGCAUCGAUGAAGAACGCAGCGAAAUGCGAUACGUAAUGUGAAUUGCAGAAUUCAGUGAAUCAUCGAAUCUUUGAACGCACCUUGCGCCCCUUGGUAUUCCGAGGGGCACACCCGUUUGAGUGUCGUGAAAACCUCAACCUCUUUGGUUUCUUCUGGGGACCAAAGCAGGCUUGGACUUUGGAGGCCUUUUGCUGGCACCUCUCUCUUUUGAAGGCCAGCUCCUCUUAAAUGAAUUAGCAGGGUCCUCUUUGCCGAUCCUCGACGUGUGAUAAGAUGUUUCCAUGUCUUGGUUUCUGGCUCUGUCACCUUUGGGACCCGCUUCUAACCGUCUUGACCUUGCGUCGAGACAAUGUUCGAGCAUGUCUCCCCAUUCUCGGGAAGCUCCCUCGACCCCACGAACCCCUUGACCUCAAAUCGGGUGAGACUACCCGCUGAACUUAAGCAUAUCAAUAAGCGGAGGAA